CAGAGGUGGCAAGCGUUGUUCGGAAUUACUGGGCGUAAAGGGCGCGUAGGUGGUCUUGUCAGUCAGACGUGAAAUCCCCAGGCUUAACCUGGGAACUGCGUCUGAUACUACGAGACUUGAGUUCGGGAGAGGGAUGUGGAAUUCCAGGUGUAGCGGUGAAAUGCGUAGAUAUCUGGAGGAACACCGGUGGCGAAGGCGGCAUCCUGGACCGAAACUGACACUGAUGCGCGAAAAGCCAGGGGAGCAAACGGGAUUAGAUACCCCGGUAGUCCUGGCCCUAAACGAUGAGUGCUUGGUGUGGCGGGUAUCGAUCCCUGCCGUGCCGAAGCUAACGCAUUAAGCACUCCGCCUGGGGAUACGGUCGCAAGGCUGA
This 373-nucleotide ribosomal RNA is filed under the name uncultured organism. RNAcentral describes it as "bacterial SSU rRNA". It matches the Rfam family "Bacterial small subunit ribosomal RNA", at positions 526 to 897 of the family's 1533-position model. The record is from RNAcentral.